CUACGGGGGGCUGCAGCUAAGAAUCUUCCGCAAUGGGAGCAAUCCUGACGGAGCGACGCCGCGUGAACGAUGAAGGCCGAAAGGUUGUAAAGUUCUUUUAUAUGGGAAGAAUAAGGGCAGCAGGAAAUGGUUGUCCGAUGGCGGUACCAUAUGAAUAAGCCACGGCUAACUACGUGCCAGCAGCCGCGGUAAUACGUAGGUGGCAAGCGUUGUUCGGAAUUAUUGGGCGUAAAGGGCGUGCAGGCGGUUGUAUAAGUGUGGAUUGAAAGACCGGAGCUUAACUCCGAGUUUGGUCUGCAAACUGUACGACUAGAAUACUGGAAGGGUAACUGGAAUUCCACGUGUAGGGGUGAAAUCUGUAGAUAUGUGGAAGAAUACCUGUGGCGAAAGCGAGUUACUGGCCAGAUAUUGACGCUGAGGCGCGAAAGUGUGGGGAGCGAACAGGAUUAGAUACCCCGGUAGUC
Molecule: ribosomal RNA, 464 nt
Filed under: uncultured bacterium
Lineage: Bacteria
Description: partial 16S ribosomal RNA
Rfam family: Bacterial small subunit ribosomal RNA
Source: RNAcentral